This 256-nucleotide ribosomal RNA is filed under the name uncultured bacterium. RNAcentral's name for it is "partial 16S ribosomal RNA". It matches the Rfam family "Bacterial small subunit ribosomal RNA", at positions 524 to 776 of the family's 1533-position model. The record is from RNAcentral.
UACGGGGGGGGGUAAGCGUUGUUCGGAAUUACUGGGCGUAAAGGGCGCGUAGGCGGUCUGCUAAGUUGGAUGUGAAAACUCUGGGCUUAACCCAGAGCCUGCAUUCAAUACUGACAGGCUAGAGUUCUGGAGGGGAUAGCGGAAUUCCUGGUGUAGCGGUGAAAUGCGUAGAUAUCAGGAAGAACACCCGUGGCGGAAGGCGGCUCUCUGGGACGGUACUGACGCUGAGACGCGAAAAGCGUGGGGAUCAAACAGG